Dreissena polymorpha is the source of this 557-nucleotide long non-coding RNA. RefSeq lists it as uncharacterized. The record is from RefSeq and is a predicted model, not a curated record. The transcript is spliced from 3 exons. Lineage: Eukaryota; Metazoa; Mollusca; Bivalvia; Myida; Dreissenidae.
AAGAGUCCUUUCAAUGCAGCUGUCCAUCAGGCUUCCGGCUCGACACCAACAAUAAUACUUGCAUUGGUGGUUGUUUGCUGCAUCAGAUUUAAACGAUGCAUUCGUUUUGAAAAGAUUGUUAAAUCACUUUAAUAUCAAAGAAAGAUAAUAAAAUAAAUAAAAAAGUGUCAAUGCAAUUUGCAAUUUCUGUCUUCAUAUAUAAACGAAUGCUCUGUUUCGAAUGGCAACUGUUCUCACAUCUGCGAGAAUACAGAAGGGUCAUAUCGAUGCAGUUGUCCGUCAGGCUUUCAACUUGAAAACAACAAUAAAACUUGCAUUGAUGUAAACGAAUGCUCUGGUUCGAAUGGCAACUGUUCUCACAUCUGCGUGAAUACAGAAGGGCCAUAUCAAUGCAGAUGUCCGUCAGGCUUUCAACUCGAAAACAACAAUGACACUUGCAUUGGUAGAUUUUUGUAGAAUCAUAGAUAUAAACGAAUGCUUUGUUUCGAAUGGCAACUGUUUUCACACCUGCCAGAAUACAGAAGGGUCAUAUCGAUGCAGUUGUCCGUCAGGCUUUC